RNAcentral lists this ribosomal RNA (907 nucleotides) under Escherichia coli. Its description in RNAcentral is "partial 23S ribosomal RNA". It matches the Rfam family "Bacterial large subunit ribosomal RNA", at positions 2015 to 2916 of the family's 2925-position model. The record is from RNAcentral. Lineage: Bacteria; Pseudomonadati; Pseudomonadota; Gammaproteobacteria; Enterobacterales; Enterobacteriaceae.
GCUGUCUCCACCCGAGACUCAGUGAAAUUGAACUCGCUGUGAAGAUGCAGUGUACCCGCGGCAAGACGGAAAGACCCCGUGAACCUUUACUAUAGCUUGACACUGAACAUUGAGCCUUGAUGUGUAGGAUAGGUGGGAGGCUUUGAAGUGUGGACGCCAGUCUGCAUGGAGCCGACCUUGAAAUACCACCCUUUAAUGUUUGAUGUUCUAACGUUGACCCGUAAUCCGGGUUGCGGACAGUGUCUGGUGGGUAGUUUGACUGGGGCGGUCUCCUCCUAAAGAGUAACGGAGGAGCACGAAGGUUGGCUAAUCCUGGUCGGACAUCAGGAGGUUAGUGCAAUGGCAUAAGCCAGCUUGACUGCGAGCGUGACGGCGCGAGCAGGUGCGAAAGCAGGUCAUAGUGAUCCGGUGGUUCUGAAUGGAAGGGCCAUCGCUCAACGGAUAAAAGGUACUCCGGGGAUAACAGGCUGAUACCGCCCAAGAGUUCAUAUCGACGGCGGUGUUUGGCACCUCGAUGUCGGCUCAUCACAUCCUGGGGCUGAAGUAGGUCCCAAGGGUAUGGCUGUUCGCCAUUUAAAGUGGUACGCGAGCUGGGUUUAGAACGUCGUGAGACAGUUCGGUCCCUAUCUGCCGUGGGCGCUGGAGAACUGAGGGGGGCUGCUCCUAGUACGAGAGGACCGGAGUGGACGCAUCACUGGUGUUCGGGUUGUCAUGCCAAUGGCACUGCCCGGUAGCUAAAUGCGGAAGAGAUAAGUGCUGAAAGCAUCUAAGCACGAAACUUGCCCCGAGAUGAGUUCUCCCUGACUCCUUGAGAGUCCUGAAGGAACGUUGAAGACGACGACGUUGAUAGGCCGGGUGUGUAAGCGCAGCGAUGCGUUGAGCUAACCGGUACUAAUGAACCGUGAGG